This 464-nucleotide ribosomal RNA is filed under the name bacterium A5T_VP6_E7. RNAcentral describes it as "bacterial SSU rRNA". It matches the Rfam family "Bacterial small subunit ribosomal RNA", at positions 337 to 789 of the family's 1533-position model. The record is from RNAcentral.
UACUACGGGAGGCAGCAGUGGGGAAUAUUGGACAAUGGGCGAAAGCCUGAUCCAGCCAUGCCGCGUGUGUGAAGAAGGUCUUCGGAUUGUAAAGCACUUUAAGUUGGGAGGAAGGGCAGUAAGUUAAUACCUUGCUGUUUUGACGUUACCGACAGAAUAAGCACCGGCUAACUUCGUGCCAGCACCCGCGGUAAUACGAAGGGUGCAAGCGUUAAUCGGAAUUACUGGGCGUAAACCGCGCGUAGGUGGUUCGUUAAGUUGGAUGUGAAAGCCCCGGGCUCAACCUGGGAACUGCUUCCAAAACUGGCGAGCUAAAGUAUGGAAGAGGGUGGUGGAAUUUCCUGUGUAGCGGUGAAAUGCCUUAAUAUAGCAAGGAAAACCAGUGGCGAAGGCGUCCACCUGGGUUAAUACUGAACACCGAAGGUGCGAAAAGCGUGGGGGAGCAAAAAGGAUUAAAUUCCCCU